Molecule: long non-coding RNA, 532 nt
Organism: Salvelinus namaycush (lake trout)
Lineage: Eukaryota; Metazoa; Chordata; Actinopteri; Salmoniformes; Salmonidae
Exons: 4
Source: RefSeq, a predicted model, not a curated record
CCCAAUCACAGCCGGUUGUGAUACAGCCUGGACAUAAGUUAGCGACCUAACAGCUAGACUUGUUUACAAUGUACCACAUCUCUGUACCAUGUUUGAUGUGGUUAAUUUCCCGAAUGAAGAUGACAGUUUAGCUGUCAUCUCAAAAACCUGGUGCACCAAGGACAAAUGUUAUUGGCCUCCAUACAAGAGCCAAGAGAGGUUAAGGAAGGCAGUGAUGUCGCAGGAACGGCCAGACAUUGAUACAUGGGAGGUGUAUUCAAUUAAAUUACUGAAGACAAGGAAUUCAUAUGAGAAAGCCCAUGACUGCUCAAGCCUGGAAACAGAGCCAAUGUCUCACCAAAGAAAGAGAAAGUCCUCAGUCCUCUUCGUCACAGGGUCCAGCUGCUCAACAGCAUGAAGGUACCUGAUCUUGCCCAUCAUAUUAUCUGAGGUGUAAAGGGAGACUCUGUUUAUCUCUGAACUCUGUUUAUCAUGCAUCCUUGUGCUUUAUUACAAAUGCCAAGUCACUCACCCACCAUUGCACCUUGUACCA